GACGGAGGAUGCAAGUGUUAUCCGGAAUCACUGGGCGUAAAGCGUCUGUAGGUGGCUCGAUAAGUCAACUGUUAAAUCUUGAAGCUCAACUUCAAAAUCGCAGUCGAAACUAUCGGACUAGAGUAUAGUAGAGGUAAAGGGAAUUUCCAGUGGAGCGGUGAAAUGCGUAGAUAUUGGAAAGAACACCGAUGGCGAAGGCACUUUACUGGGCUAUUACUGACACUCAGAGACGAAAGCUAGGGUAGCAAAUGGG
This 253-nucleotide ribosomal RNA is filed under the name uncultured bacterium. RNAcentral describes it as "partial 16S ribosomal RNA". It matches the Rfam family "Bacterial small subunit ribosomal RNA", at positions 524 to 776 of the family's 1533-position model. The record is from RNAcentral.